RNAcentral lists this ribosomal RNA (587 nucleotides) under uncultured prokaryote. Its description in RNAcentral is "bacterial SSU rRNA". It matches the Rfam family "Bacterial small subunit ribosomal RNA", at positions 338 to 916 of the family's 1533-position model. The record is from RNAcentral.
CCUACGGGAGGCAGCAGUGGGGAAUAUUGGACAAUGGGCGGAAGCCUGAUCCAGCCAUGCCGCGUGUGUGAAGAAGGCCUUUUGGUUGUAAAGCACUUUAAGCGAGGAGGAGGCUACUUAGAUUAAUACUCUAGGAUAGUGGACGUUACUCGCAGAAUAAGCACCGGCUAACUCUGUGCCAGCAGCCGCGGUAAUACAGAGGGUGCGAGCGUUAAUCGGAUUUACUGGGCGUAAAGCGUGCGUAGGCGGCUGAUUAAGUCGGAUGUGAAAUCCCUGAGCUUAACUUAGGAAUUGCAUUCGAUACUGGUCAGCUAGAGUAUGGGAGAGGAUGGUAGAAUUCCAGGUGUAGCGGUGAAAUGCGUAGAGAUCUGGAGGAAUACCGAUGGCGAAGGCAGCCAUCUGGCCUAAUACUGACGCUGAGGUACGAAAGCAUGGGGAGCAAACAGGAUUAGAUACCCUGGUAGUCCAUGCCGUAAACGAUGUCUACUAGCCGUUGGGGCCUUUGAGGCUUUAGUGGCGCAGCUAACGCGAUAAGUAGACCGCCUGGGGAGUACGGUCGCAAGACUAAAACUCAAAGGAAUUGACGG